This 253-nucleotide ribosomal RNA is filed under the name uncultured bacterium. RNAcentral describes it as "partial 16S ribosomal RNA". It matches the Rfam family "Bacterial small subunit ribosomal RNA", at positions 524 to 776 of the family's 1533-position model. The record is from RNAcentral.
UACGAAGGGUGCAAGCGUUAAUCGGAAUUACUGGGCGUAAAGCGCGCGUAGGUGGUUCAGUAAGUUGGAAGUGAAAUCCCCGGGCUCAACCUGGGAACUGCUUUCAAAACUGCUGGGCUAGAGUACGGUAGAGGGUGGUGGAAUUUCCUGUGUAGCGGUGAAAUGCGUAGAUAUAGGAAGGAACACCAGUGGCGAAGGCGACCACCUGGACUGAUACUGACACUGAGGUGCGAAAGCGUGGGGAGCAAACAGG